GCAGGUUGAAGCGCGGGUAAGACCGCGUGGAGGACCGAACCCACCUGGGUUGAAAACCGGGGGGAUGACCUGGGGCUAGGGGUGAAAGGCCAAUCAAAUUCCGUGAUAGCUGGUUCUCUCCGAAAUGCAUUUAGGUGCAGCGUCGGUCGAUUGCGUCGCGGGGGUAGAGCUACCGGAUGCUUGCGGGCCCUUGUUGGGUACCAACAGCAGCCGAACUCCGAAUACCGUUGACGUGUAUUCCGGCAGUGAGUCGGCGGGGGAUAAGCUCCGUCGUCGAGAGGGAGACAGCCCAGACCGUCGUCUAAGGUCCCGAAGCGUGUGCUAAGUGGGAAAGGAUGUGGAGUCGCAUAGACAGCCAGGAGGUUGGCUCAGAAGCAGCCAUCCUUGAAAGAGUGCGUAACAGCUCACUGGUCUAGUGGUUCCGCGCCGACAAUGUAGCGGGGCUCAAGCACACCACCGAAGACGCGGCAGCAAUCUUCAUGGUUGCUGGGUAGGAGAGCGUCCUGCGAGGGGCGAAGCGGCCGGGUAACCGUGCCGUGGACUUCGUGGGAGUGAGAAUGCAGACAUGAGUAGCGAGAGACGGGUGAGGAUCCCGUCCGCUGGAUGACCAAGGGUUCCGGGGCCACGUUCGUCGUCCCCGGGUGAGUCGGGUCCUAAGGCGAGGCCGACAGGCGUAGUCGAAUGGAUGAACGGGUGGAUAUUCCCGUACCGACCAUGGACCGGCAAAACCGAGACGGUGAGUACUAACCUCCGCCUCGUGGUGGUUCCUUCCUUCGGGUUGGUGUCGCCGCGUGGCGUUGGGAGCGUAGCCGUAGUAGGUCAGCGCAGGGGUGACACGGAAUGGGAGCCGGCCGCGGAGGUGGUUUUCCGUGGUCAAGCACGCAGCCAGUCAUGUAGGCAAAUCCGCAUGGCGCGCAUGGCGAGGUGUGAUGAUGGGAGCCGUUAUGGCUCGAUAUCCGGUUGUCCAGGCCGUCGAGAAAAGCCUCGGCGUGAGGGCCAUGGCCGCCCGUACCCCAAACCGACACUGGUGGUCAGGUAGAGAAUACCAAGGCGAUCGAGCGAAUCCUGGUCAAGGAACUCGGCAAAUCACUCCCGUGCCUUCGGUAUAAGGGAGACCCGCUGGGGUGAACCGGCUAGCCCGGGGAGCUUUGGUGGGUGGCACAGACCAGGGGGUAGCGACUGUUUACCAAAAACACAGGUGCAUGCGAAGGCGAAAGCCGCUGUAUAUGCACUGACGCCUGCCCGGUGCCGGAAGGUUAAGAGGAUCCGUCAAUCCCUUCGGGGACGAAGCGGUGAAUUCAAGCCCCGGUAAACGGCGGUGGUAACUAUAACCAUCCUAAGGUAGCGAAAUUCCUUGUCGGGUAAGUUCCGACCUGCACGAAUGGCGUAACGACUUCCCCACUGUCUCGACCAGGAGCUCGGCGAAAUUGCAGUACGAGUAAAGAUGCUCGUUAAGCGCAGAAGGACGAAAAGACCCCGGGACCUUUACUAUACCUUGGUAUUGGCGUUAGGCGCGGAUUGUGUAGCAUAGGCGGGAGGCUUCGAAGCGGGUGCGCCAGCAUUCGUGGAGCCGCAAGGUGAAAUACCGCUCUGUUCUCGUUUGACGUCUAACCUCGACAAGUCAUCCUUGUCAGGGACAGUGCCUGGCGGGUAGUUCAACUGGGGCGGUUGCCUCCCAAAGAGUAACGGAGGCGCUCAAAGGUCCGCUCAGCCCGGUUGGCAAUCGGGUGUCGAGUGUAAUCGCACAAGCGGGCUUGACUGCGAGGACGACGGUCCGAGCAGGGACGAAAGUCGGAGAUAGUGAUCCGGUGCCGGCGCACGGGCGCGGCAUCGCUCAACGGAUAAAAGGUACCCCGGGGAUAACAGGCUGAUCAUUCCCAAGAGUCCAUAUCGACGGGAUGGUUUGGCACCUCGAUGUCGGCUCGUCGCAUCCUGGGGCUGGAGCAGGUCCCAAGGGUUCGGCUGUUCGCCGAUUAAAGCGGCACGCGAGCUGGGUUCAGAACGUCGUGAGACAGUUUGGUCUCUAUCCUCUGCGCUCGUUGGAAUCCUGAGGAGGCCUGCCCAUAGUACGAGAGGACCUGGGUGGACGAACCUCUGGUAUGCCGGUUGUCGCGCCAGCGGCACGGCCGGUUGGCUACGUUCGGGAGGGAUAACCGCUGAAAGCAUCUAAGCGGGAAGCCUGCUCCAAGAUUAGGAUUCCAUGGAUCUUCGAGAUCCUGUAGCCCGCAUGUUGAACACGUGUUUGAUAGGCCGGAGGUGGAAGCCCCGUGAGGGGUGGAGCCGACCGGUACUAACGGGCGAUGGCGACAUAA
This 2312-nucleotide ribosomal RNA is filed under the name human gut metagenome. RNAcentral describes it as "bacterial LSU rRNA". It matches the Rfam family "Bacterial large subunit ribosomal RNA", at positions 740 to 2925 of the family's 2925-position model. The record is from RNAcentral.